Ictalurus punctatus (channel catfish) is the source of this 141-nucleotide small nuclear RNA. Its record names the gene U4. It matches the Rfam family "U4 spliceosomal RNA". From Rfam's summary of the family: U4 small nuclear RNA (U4 snRNA) is a component of the major U2-dependent spliceosome. The structure of U4 snRNA from yeast and human has been reported. NCBI's taxonomy places the organism in Eukaryota, Metazoa, Chordata, Actinopteri, Siluriformes, Ictaluridae. The record is from Ensembl.
AGCUUUGCGCAGUGGCAGUAUCGUAGCCUAUGAGGUUUAUCCGAGGCGCGAUUAUUGCUAGUUGAAAACUUUACCCAAUACCCCGCCUUGACGACUUGAAAUAUAGUCGGCGAUGGCAAUUUUUGACGGUCUCUACGGAGA